RNAcentral lists this ribosomal RNA (253 nucleotides) under uncultured bacterium. RNAcentral's name for it is "partial 16S ribosomal RNA". It matches the Rfam family "Bacterial small subunit ribosomal RNA", at positions 524 to 776 of the family's 1533-position model. The record is from RNAcentral.
UACGUAGGUGGCAAGCGUUGUCCGGAUUUACUGGGCGUAAAGGGCGUGCAGGCGGUUUGUUAAGUGCAGGGUGAAAGCUCCCGGCUCAACUGGGAGAGGUCCUUGCAUACUGGCGAACUCGAGGGAGGCAGAGGAAAGUGGAAUUCCCGGUGUAGUGGUGAUAUGCGUAGAUAUCGGGAGGAACACCUGUGGCGAAGGCGGCUUUCUGGACAGAUACCGACGCUGAGGCACGAAAGCUAGGGGAGCAAACAGG